Tachyglossus aculeatus (Australian echidna) is the source of this 526-nucleotide long non-coding RNA. RefSeq lists it as uncharacterized. The transcript is spliced from 3 exons. Lineage: Eukaryota; Metazoa; Chordata; Mammalia; Monotremata; Tachyglossidae. The record is from RefSeq and is a predicted model, not a curated record.
AUCAGUUAAAGUUUUUGAAUCACUCACGGAAGAGCUCCAGUAUAUUUAUGGCUGUGAACUUGAGGUGGAGAAAAGCCCAGGAACAACAUCAAGACUUACACAAGACGCUGGUCCUUUCCUGAGAAGUUGUGUUGCUACAAGAAUUUCUUCAGCGCUAGUGACCCCGGGGGAUCUCCUUGGUACCUGAAUUGUUCACAUCAGACCGAUCUUGAUGCUGUUGGCUGAGAUUACCCGCAGUUUUGAUGGCUGGCCUAAUGGAGAGUAUCUUGGAGAGUUGCCUGCUCACACAUUAUUCUGACACUGAAAAUUUCCACUUUAAUAUCGAUCCCAUGUAGCUCCAUACCUUAACAUUGUACUCACCAUUUCAUAACAGAAUGGUGCUUGGUGACUCAAUUAAUCCAACAUUUUCUACCAUUCUCCUCUGUCUGUGCUACCUCCAUGAGAGGAAGAGACAUUGGCAUGAGCCAAAAGCAAAGACUUACCCGCCUUCUGUGUUGCAGGUCUCUGUUUUGGUUUCCUUCAGUGU